GCGCACGGGUGAGUAACGCGUAUCCAACCUGCCCCUUACUACGGGACAGCCCGGCGAAAGUCGGAUUAAUACCGUAUGUGGUGUGAAGAGGGCAUCUGACUUACACUAAAGAUUCGUCGGUAAGGGAUGGGGAUGCGUCCGAUUAGGUUGUCGGCGGGGUAACGGCCCACCGAGCCCGCGAUCGGUAGGGGUUCUGAGAGGAAGGUCCCCCACACUGGAACUGAGACACGGUCCAGACUCCUACGGGAGGCAGCAGUGAGGAAUAUUGGUCAAUGGGCGAGAGCCUGAACCAGCCAAGUAGCGUGAGGGAAGACUGCCCUAUGGGUUGUAAACCUCUUUAGUCUGGGAAUAAAGUUGGCGACGUGUCGCCUUUUGUAGGUACCAGAAGAAUAAGGACCGGCUAAUUCCGUGCCAGCAGCCGCGGUAAUACGGAAGGUCCGGGCGUUAUCCGGAUUUAUUGGAUUUAAAGGGAGCGCAGGCGGCCUGUUAAGCGGGCAGUUAAAGGCGGUGGCUCAACCAUCGUUAGCUGUCCGAACUGCCGGGCUUGAGUACGUGCGAGGUAUGCGGAAUUCGUGGUGUAGCGGUGAAAUGCUUAGAUAUCACGAAGAACUCCGAUUGCGAAGGCAGCAUACCAGUGCGCCACUGACGCUAAAGCUCGAAAGCGCGGGUAUCGAACAGGAUUAGAUACCCUGGUAGUCCGCACGGUAAACGAUGGAUGCCCGCUGUCCGCCCCGUUUAGUGGGUGGGUGGCCAAGCGAAAGCAUUAAGCAUCCCACCUGGGGGAGUACGCCGGCACGGUGAAACUCAAAGGAAUUGACGGGGGCCCGCCAGCGGAGGAACAUGUGUUUAAUCGAUGAUACCGAGAACUUUACCCGGCUGAAUGCAGCGAAGGAGCAGAGAUGCUGACGCCCCUCGGGGCCGCUGUGAAGGGUGCUGCAUGGUUGUCGUCAGCUCGUGCCGUGAGGUGUCGGCUUAAGUGCCAUAACGAGCGCAACCCCUCUCUUCAGUUGCCAUCGGGCUAUGCCGGGCACUCUGGAGACACUGCCACCGCAAGGUGUGAGGAAGGUGGGGACGACGUCAAAUCAGCACGGCCCUUACGUCCGGGGCUACACACGUGUUACAAUGGGUGGCACAGAGAGUCGGCGCUGCGCAAGCCGCGCCCAAUCAAGAAAUCCAUCCUCAGUUCGGAUUGGGGUCUGCAACCCGACCCCAUGAAGCUGGAUUCGCUAGUAAUCGCGCAUCAGCCAUGGCGCGGUGAAUACGUUCCCGGGCCUUGUACACACCGCCCGUCAAGCCAUGAAAGCCGGGGGCGCCUGAAGUCCGUGACCGCGAGGGUCGGCCUAGGGUGAAACCGGUGAUUGGGGCUAAGUCGUAACAAGGUAACCGUA
RNAcentral lists this ribosomal RNA (1388 nucleotides) under uncultured bacterium. Its description in RNAcentral is "bacterial SSU rRNA". It matches the Rfam family "Bacterial small subunit ribosomal RNA". The record is from RNAcentral.